This 437-nucleotide ribosomal RNA is filed under the name uncultured bacterium. Its description in RNAcentral is "bacterial SSU rRNA". It matches the Rfam family "Bacterial small subunit ribosomal RNA", at positions 28 to 507 of the family's 1533-position model. The record is from RNAcentral.
GGUGAACGCUGGCGGCGUGCCUAACACAUGCAAGUCGAUCGGAGCAGCAAUGCUUAGAGGCGAACGGGUGAGGAAAACGUAGUAACCAACCCUUUAGACUGGGAUAGCCACUGGAAACGGUGGGUAAUACCGAUAAGCUCGAGAGAGGAAAGGCAGAGAAGCGCUAAAGGACGGAACUGCGCCCCAUCAGAUAGUUGGUGAGGUAAAGGCUUACCAAGUCAAAGACGGGAAACCGACGUGAGAGCGUGUACGGUCACAAGGGCACUGAGAGACGGGCCCUACUCCUACGGGAGGCAGCAGUGGGGAAUAUUGGACAAUGGACGAAAGUCUGAUCCAGCGACGCCGCGUGGAGGAAGAAGGUUUUCGGAUUGUAAACUUCUGUCCUUGGUGAAGAGAAGAAGACGGUAGCCAAGGAGGAAGCCCCGGCUAACUACGUG